This 30-nucleotide non-coding RNA is filed under the name Rattus norvegicus (Norway rat). The record is from RNAcentral. Lineage: Eukaryota; Metazoa; Chordata; Mammalia; Rodentia; Muridae.
UGCUGAAUACAGGUUCAUUCUGUGGGCUCU